This 244-nucleotide ribosomal RNA is filed under the name uncultured bacterium. Its description in RNAcentral is "partial small subunit ribosomal RNA". It matches the Rfam family "Bacterial small subunit ribosomal RNA", at positions 26 to 285 of the family's 1533-position model. The record is from RNAcentral.
AGAAUCAACGCUGGCGGCGUGCCUAACACAUGCAAGUCGAACGAGAAAGUGGAGCAAUCCAUGAGUAAAGUGGCGCACGGGUGAGUAACACGUGACUAACCUACCCUCGAGUGGGGAAUAACCUCGGGAAACCGGGGCUAACACCGCAUAACAUCUACGGAUCAAAUGCGUAAGCAGCUUGAGGAGGGGUCGCGGCUGAUUAGCUAGUUGGCGGGGUAAUGGCCCACCAAGGCAGUGAUCAGUA